This 483-nucleotide ribosomal RNA is filed under the name uncultured bacterium. RNAcentral's name for it is "partial 16S ribosomal RNA". It matches the Rfam family "Bacterial small subunit ribosomal RNA", at positions 30 to 506 of the family's 1533-position model. The record is from RNAcentral.
AUUGAACGCUGGCGGCAGGCCUAACACAUGCAAGUCGAGCGGAUGAAGGGAGCUUGCUCCUGGAUUCAGCGGCGGACGGGUGAGUAAUGCCUAGGAAUCUGCCUGGUAGUGGGGGAUAACGUCCGGAAACGGGCGCUAAUACCGCAUACGUCCUGAGGGAGAAAGUGGGGGAUCUUCGGACCUCACGCUAUCAGAUGAGCCUAGGUCGGAUUAGCUAGUUGGUGGGGUAAAGGCCUACCAAGGCGACGAUCCGUAACUGGUCUGAGAGGAUGAUCCGUCACACUGGAACUGAGACGCGGUCCCGACUCCGACGGGAGGCAGCAGUGGGGAAUAUUGGACAAUGGGCGAAAGCCUGUUCCAGCCAUGCCGCGUGUGUGAAGAAGGUCUUCGGAUUGUAAAGCACUUUAAGUUGGGAGGAAGGGCAGUAAGUUAAUACCUUGCUGUUUUGACGUUACCAACAGAAUAAGCACCGGCAAACUUCGU